GCUGUGGUGGCCGAGUGGUGAAGGUGUUGGACUAGAAAUCCAAUAGAGUCUCCCUGGGCAGAUUCACAUCCUGCUCACAGUG
RNAcentral lists this transfer RNA (82 nucleotides) under Pelodiscus sinensis (Chinese soft-shelled turtle). It matches the Rfam family "tRNA". From Rfam's summary of the family: Transfer RNA (tRNA) molecules are approximately 80 nucleotides in length. Their secondary structure includes four short double-helical elements and three loops (D, anti-codon, and T loops). Further hydrogen bonds mediate the characteristic L-shaped molecular structure. tRNAs have two regions of fundamental functional importance: the anti-codon, which is responsible for specific mRNA codon recognition, and the 3' end, to which the tRNAs corresponding amino acid is attached (by aminoacyl-tRNA synthetases). tRNAs cope with the degeneracy of the genetic code in two manners: having more than one tRNA (with a specific anti-codon) for a particular amino acid; and 'wobble' base-pairing, i.e. permitting non-standard base-pairing at the 3rd anti-codon position. Lineage: Eukaryota; Metazoa; Chordata; Testudines; Trionychidae. The record is from Rfam by way of RNAcentral.